Molecule: ribosomal RNA, 1383 nt
Filed under: uncultured bacterium
Lineage: Bacteria
Description: bacterial SSU rRNA
Rfam family: Bacterial small subunit ribosomal RNA
Source: RNAcentral
CCUGGCUCACGAUGAACGCUAGCUACAGGCUUAACACAUGCAAGUCGAGGGGCAGCAUUUUAGUUUGCUUGCAAACUGAAGAUGGCGACCGGCGCACGGGUGAGUAACACGUAUCCAACCUGCCGAUAACUCCGGAAUAGCCUUUCGAAAGAAAGAUUAAUACCGGAUGGCAUACGAAUAUCGCAUGAUAUUUUUAUUAAAGAAUUUCGGUUAUCGAUGGGGAUGCGUUCCAUUAGUUUGUUGGCGGGGUAACGGCCCACCAAGACAACGAUGGAUAGGGGUUCUGAGAGGAAGGUCCCCCACAUUGGAACUGAGACACGGUCCAAACUCCUACGGGAGGCAGCAGUGAGGAAUAUUGGUCAAUGGGCGAGAGCCUGAACCAGCCAAGUAGCGUGAAGGAUGAAGGCUCUAUGGGUCGUAAACUUCUUUUAUAUGGGAAUAAAGUAUUCCACGUGUGGAAUUUUGUAUGUACCAUAUGAAUAAGGAUCGGCUAACUCCGUGCCAGCAGCCGCGGUAAUACGGAGGAUCCGAGCGUUAUCCGGAUUUAUUGGGUUUAAAGGGAGCGUAGGUGGAUUGUUAAGUCAGUUGUGAAAGUUUGCGGCUCAACCGUAAAAUUGCAGUUGAAACUGGCAGUCUUGAGUACAGUAGAGGUGGGCGGAAUUCGUGGUGUAGCGGUGAAAUGCUUAGAUAUCACGAAGAACUCCGAUUGCGAAGGCAGCUCACUAGACUGUCACUGACACUGAUGCUCGAAAGUGUGGGUAUCAAACAGGAUUAGAUACCCUGGUAGUCCACACAGUAAACGAUGAAUACUCGCUGUUUGCGAUAUACAGUAAGCGGCCAAGCGAAAGCAUUAAGUAUUCCACCUGGGGAGUACGCCGGCAACGGUGAAACUCAAAGGAAUUGACGGGGGCUCGCACAAGCGGAGGAACAUGUGGUUUAAUUCGAUGAUACGCGAGGAACCUUACCCGGGCUUAAAUUGCAACAGAAUAUAUUGGAAACAGUAUAGCCGUAAGGCUGUUGUGAAGGUGCUGCAUGGUUGUCGUCAGCUCGUGCCGUGAGGUGUCGGCUUAAGUGCCAUAACGAGCGCAACCCUUAUCUUUAGUUACUAACAGGUCAUGCUGAGGACUCUAGAGAGACUGCCGUCGUAAGAUGUGAGGAAGGUGGGGAUGACGUCAAAUCAGCACGGCCCUUACGUCCGGGGCUACACACGUGUUACAAUGGGGGGUACAGAAGGCGGCUACCUGGUGACAGGAUGCUAAUCCCAAAAACCUCUCUCAGUUCGGAUCGAAGUCUGCAACCCGACUUCGUGAAGCUGGAUUCGCUAGUAAUCGCGCAUCAGCCAUGGCGCGGUGAAUACGUUCCCGGGCCUUGUACACAACGCCC